CUGAGAGAGAGAGUGGGACUUUCGCUCUCUAUUUCCACUUGAGUCAUCAGAGUCCGUUUUUGGCGUUCAGGUCCUUCCAACGGGCGCCAGUAGUAGUGGGCAAACGAGCGAGCAGCAGCAAGGACUCUUCAAUUCUGGAUCAGUUAUUCAAUCAAACUGAGCUGUUUUUCUUCGUUUUUCCUUUUUCUGCCCUCACCCACACCUUUUUCCUGGCAAAAGCUAGUGCGUGUUUCGCUGUGUGUGAUUCUAGGGACUUUUCCAGACUUUCCGUCCUGUGCGAGCGAGAUCGCGAAAUCAAGCAGUUGUUCUAGCAGCAGGAGGCAGUUGAUGAACAAUAGAGACUUCCGGUGACUGUUUCCAGCAGGAGCAGGGCCGUUUUAUGGAGUAUUCGCUAACAGUGAUGUGAUGCAAGAAGACACCGAGUGUGAUGUGACGCCUACCGGAAUCUAGUAUCACAAAGAAGACAUCUUUCCUCUUUUGACGACUAAGUCGGUCUGUCUGUGUGCGUGUUAAUUCGUGUGGAAAACACGAGGAAGGAUAAGAAAUAAAAAAAAAGCUUUGAUGGUUCCCGUUGUUAUCGUUCGUCGUCCUGGCCGUCAUCGUCGUCUUGUGUGUGAGUGCAGUAGAAUUGUUGUUGUUAUUGCCGUAUAGUAGCUGUAUAUGUUGUGAAAUGAUGAGUGUUUUGUGCAGAGAAGCCACUCUGUAGAUCUAAGUCAGUAGUGCAGAAGAAUAGUGUCGUCAAUAUCGCAAGUUGUUACUCAAACAAGCUGAACAAGCCGUCCGUGUCUAUUGCCGUUGUUCCAGAGCUUUCCAAGCUGAAUUGUGCUCCUGCUAGGUGGAUACGCGCUUCUAGUAGAAUCUCUGUGAAUUACUGAUACUGUGUCUAUGCUUGUAACAACAACACACAAUCUAUACAUCUAUAGUGCUGUAUGUGCUCGAUUAAGUAUUACCUAACCUGCAACAGUCUGUACGAGUGUGUCCUAGGAAUUGCAUAAAAGAAGGAAGACUUCAACAACACUACUCAACAAAAGGAUACACAAAUUGCAGACCGAGAGGAGAGGCAUUUUUCGCAAGAAGAGAUAAACAACGUCGACGACUAACGGCCAACAAAAGCUUGCCAGGAAACGGUGCAAGGAAAAAAAAAACACAAGGAUUAAGUGAAUGUGAAGGGAAGGAAGGAGCAAGGAAAAAUUAUAUACAACAACAAAAGGGGUGCAAAGAGUGAGAGAGGGUAUAAACCAAGAAGAAGAAAAAGAACAGUGUUUUGUGAAGUAAAAAAAGAAGAAGAAAAAGACAAGUGCUCGGAAUAGUGCAAGGAUAAUAACCAAACCAAGCUGCAUUCAAUUGUUGUUAAAAGGGGGGAGAGCUUUUUAUUUCGUUCUUCGAAAGGAAGAAGAGAACAAAACAACCAAGCUGCGGUGGGUUGUGUGUGGUGAAGAACGAGCAGCUGUGUGAAUUGAUGGGGUAAGUU
This is a long non-coding RNA of Culex pipiens pallens (northern house mosquito), 1471 nucleotides long. RefSeq lists it as uncharacterized. The transcript is spliced from 2 exons. The record is from RefSeq and is a predicted model, not a curated record. NCBI's taxonomy places the organism in Eukaryota, Metazoa, Arthropoda, Insecta, Diptera, Culicidae.